GACGAACGCUGGCGGCGUGCCUAAUACAUGCAAGUAGAACGCUGAAGAGAGGAGCUUGCUCUUCUUGGAUGAGUUGCGAACGGGUGAGUAACGCGUAGGUAACCUGCCUUGUAGCGGGGGAUAACUAUUGGAAACGAUAGCUAAUACCGCAUAACAAUGGAUGACUCAUGUCAUUUAUUUGAAAGGGGCAAUUGCUCCACUACAAGAUGGACCUGCGUUGUAUUAGCUAGUAGGUGAGGUAAUGGCUCACCUAGGCGACGAUACAUAGCCGACCUGAGAGGGUGAUCGGCCACACUGGGACUGAGACACGGCCCAGACUCCUACGGGAGGCAGCAGUAGGGAAUCUUCGGCAAUGGGGGCAACCCUGACCGAGCAACGCCGCGUGAGUGAAGAAGGUUUUCGGAUCGUAAAGCUCUGUUGUAAGUCAAGAACGGGUGUGAGAGUGGAAAGUUCACACUGUGACGGUAGCUUACCAGAAAGGGACGGCUAACUACGUG
This 497-nucleotide ribosomal RNA is filed under the name uncultured bacterium. RNAcentral describes it as "partial 16S ribosomal RNA". It matches the Rfam family "Bacterial small subunit ribosomal RNA", at positions 28 to 507 of the family's 1533-position model. The record is from RNAcentral.